UAGGGAAUCUUCGGCAAUGGGGGGAACCCUGACCGAGCAACGCCGCGUGAGUGAAGAAGGUUUUCGGAUCGUAAAGCUCUGUUGUUAAGGAAGAACGAGUGUGAGAAUGGAAAGUUCAUACUGUGACGGUACUUAACCAGAAAGGGACGGCUAACUACGUGCCAGCAGCCGCGGUAAUACGUAGGUCCCGAGCGUUGUCCGGAUGUAUUGGGCGUAAAGCGGGCGCAGGCGGUUAGAUAAGUCUGAAGUUAAAGGCAGUGGCUCAACCAUUGUAGGCUUUGGAAACUGUUUAACUUGAGUGCAGAAGGGGAGAGUGGAAUUCCAUGUGUAGCGGUGAAAUGCGUAGAUAUAUAGAGAAACACCGGUGGCGAAAGCGACUCUCUGGUCUAUAACUGACGCUGAGGCUCGAAAGCGUGGGGAGCGAACAGG
Molecule: ribosomal RNA, 429 nt
Filed under: Bacteroidota bacterium
Lineage: Bacteria; Pseudomonadati; Bacteroidota
Description: Bacteroidetes bacterium partial 16S ribosomal RNA
Rfam family: Bacterial small subunit ribosomal RNA
Source: RNAcentral